GCUUGCUUUGGCAGCGCAUGUACUGAAAUUGUCACAACACAGAGAAGAUUAGCAUGGCUCCAUGCAAGGAUGACAUGCAAACUCGUGAAGAGUUCCAUAUUUUU
Molecule: small nuclear RNA, 104 nt
Filed under: Catagonus wagneri (Chacoan peccary)
Lineage: Eukaryota; Metazoa; Chordata; Mammalia; Artiodactyla; Tayassuidae
Source: RNAcentral